AUUGAACGCUGGCGGCAGGCUUAACACAUGCAAGUCGAACGAUGAUUAUCUAGCUUGCUAGAUAUGAUUAGUGGCGGACGGGUGAGUAACAUUUAGGAAUCUGCCUAGUAGUGGGGGAUAGCUCGGGGAAACUCGAAUUAAUACCGCAUACGACCUACGGGUGAAAGGGGGCGCAAGCUCUUGCUAUUAGAUGAGCCUAAAUCAGAUUAGCUAGUUGGUGGGGUAAAGGCCCACCAAGGCGACGAUCUGUAACUGGUCUGGGAGGAUGAUCAGUCACACCGGAACUGAGACACGGUCCGGACUCCUACGGGAGGCAGCAGUGGGGAAUAUUGGACAAUGGGGGCAACCCUGAUCCAGCCAUGCCGCGUGUGUGAAGAAGGCCUUUUGGUUGUAAAGCACUUUAAGCAGGGAGGAGAGGCUAAUGGUUAAUACCCAUUAGAUUAGACGUUACCUGCAGAAUAAGCACCGGCUAACUCUGUGCCAGCAGCCGCGGUAAUACAGAGGGUGCGAGCGUUAAUCGGAAUUACUGGGCGUAAAGCGAGUGUAGGUGGCUCAUUAAGUCACAUGUGAAAUCCCCGGGCUUAACCUGGGAACUGCAUGUGAUACUGGUGGUGCUAGAAUAUGUGAGAGGGAAGUAGAAUUCCAGGUGUAGCGGUGAAAUGCGUAGAGAUCUGGAGGAAUACCGAUGGCGAAGGCAGCUUCCUGGCAUAAUAUUGACACUGAGAUUCGAAAGCGUGGGUAGCAAACAGGAUUAGAUACCCUGGUAGUCCACGCCGUAAACGAUGUCUACUAGCCGUUGGGGUCCUUGAGACUUUAGUGGCGCAGUUAACGCGAUAAGUAGACCGCCUGGGGAGUACGGCCGCAAGGUUAAAACUCAAAUGAAUUGACGGGGGCCCGCACAAGCGGUGGAGCAUGUGGUUUAAUUCGAUGCAACGCGAAGAACCUUACCUGGUCUUGACAUAGUGAGAAUCUCUCAGAGAUGAGAGAGUGCCUUCGGGAACUCACAUACAGGUGCUGCAUGGCUGUCGUCAGCUCGUGUCGUGAGAUGUUGGGUUAAGUCCCGCAACGAGCGCAACCCUUUUCCUUAUUUGCCAGCGGGUUAAGCCGGGAACUUUAAGGAUACUGCCAGUGACAAACUGGAGGAAGGCGGGGACGACGUCAAGUCAUCAUGGCCCUUACGACCAGGGCUACACACGUGCUACAAUGGUAGGUACAGAGGGUUGCUACACAGCGAUGUGAUGCUAAUCUCAAAAAGCCUAUCGUAGUCCGGAUUGGAGUCUGCAACUCGACUCCGUGAAGUCGGAAUCGCUAGUAAUCGCGGAUCAGAAUGCCGCGGUGAAUACGUUCCCGGGCCU
Molecule: ribosomal RNA, 1355 nt
Filed under: uncultured bacterium
Lineage: Bacteria
Description: bacterial SSU rRNA
Rfam family: Bacterial small subunit ribosomal RNA
Source: RNAcentral